CAUCUCUAUCAUUUUCAACCUUAUCUCUAAGAAGUAAAAUCAAAUUUGUCUCCACUUCUAACAAUCUCCUACUUGGAGACAAAUAUUAGGCCUUACUGGAACUCCGCCUUCAUUCUGAAGUACUAAGACCAAUUGAAGUUGAACAAGACUUUAGUUUCUCAAUAGUUACUACCUUUGUUAAUAUAUCUGCAGGAUUUUCUGUGGUGUGGAUCUUCUCCAAAUUGAUUUUACCAUCUUCUAAGAGUGAGCAAACAAAAUGGUAUUUAAUGUCAAUAUGUUUCGUUCUUGAGUGAAAUGCAGAAUUCUUUGCAAGAUGUAGAGCACUUUGACUAUCAUUGUACAACUUGCAAUCAUCAAGAUUCUUGCCCAAUUCACUCAAGAAAUUUUAAAACUAUACCAUUUCCUUACAAGCUUCUGUCAUUGCUACAUACUUUGUUUCUGUCGUAGAUAUGGUUAUAAUCUUUUGUAACUAAGUGACCCAGCUAAUUGCAGCACUUCCCAAAGUAAACACAUAUCCAAUUGUGCUCUUUCUGUUGUCAAUUUCUCCUGCAAAAUCAGAAUCAACAUACCGAUACAAUCCUAUCUUUGAGCUACCAUAACACAGAGCCAUAUCUCAAGUACCCUUUAGAGAUUGCAGUAUCCACUUGACAACUUCCCAAUGCUCUGUGCUAAGAUUAUUCAUGAAUCUACUAACAACUCCUACUUCAUGAGCAAUAUCUGGUAUUGUACAGACCACAGCAUACAUCAAGCUGCCAAUGGUUGAGGCAUAAAGGACCUUAGCCAUGUACUCUUUCUCUUCGUGCAUUAUUGCUCCUUGUUCUUUUGUCAAUUUGAAGUGACCUGCUAUUUUGGGUACUAACACGCUUAGCACUUUCCAUGUUAAAUCUCUUGAGGACUUUACCAAAAUAUUCUUCUUGUGAUAGCUUUA
Molecule: long non-coding RNA, 928 nt
Filed under: Olea europaea subsp. europaea
Lineage: Eukaryota; Viridiplantae; Streptophyta; Magnoliopsida; Lamiales; Oleaceae
Source: RNAcentral